CCUACGGGUGGCAGCAGUGAGGAAUAUUGGUCAAUGGGCGCGAGCCUGACCCAGCCAAGUCGCGUGAGGGCAGACGGUCCUAUGGAUUGUAAACCUCUUUUGUCGGGGAGCAAAAGACGCCACGCGUGGCGUUCCGAGCGUACCCGAAGAACAAGCAUCGGCUAACUCCGUGCCAGCAGCCGCGGUAAUACGGAGGAUGCGAGGGUUGUACGGGUUUUUUGGGUUUAAGGGGUGCGCAGGCGGAAGAUCACGUCAGCGGUAAAAUUGCGGGGCUCAACCUCUUCGAGCCGUUGAAACUGGUUUGCUUGAGUGAGCGAGAGGUAGGCGGAAUGCGGGGUGGAGCGGUGAAAUGCAUAGAUAUCACGCAGAACGCCGAUUGCGAAGGCAGCAUACCGGCGCUCAACUGACGCGCAUGCACGAAAGUGUGGGUAUCGAACAGGAUUAGAUACCCCAGUAGUC
Molecule: ribosomal RNA, 459 nt
Filed under: uncultured bacterium
Lineage: Bacteria
Description: partial 16S ribosomal RNA
Rfam family: Bacterial small subunit ribosomal RNA
Source: RNAcentral